Non-coding RNA from Plectropomus leopardus (leopard coralgrouper), 805 nucleotides. The record is from RefSeq and is a predicted model, not a curated record. NCBI's taxonomy places the organism in Eukaryota, Metazoa, Chordata, Actinopteri, Perciformes, Serranidae.
UGUUUGCUUCUGCAUCAAACUACAGCUCAUCAGUCAUGGACAAAAGAGUGCUGCUGGUCCUGUUGUGUGUGCAGGUUUUCCUGCUCAUUGCAGACUUCACUGCUACUGAUGCAGCCCCCGUGGAGGGAGAUGAUCAAAUGCCUCCUGUUCAGGUGGAGAGAAAAAAUGGAGACAGACAGAAAAGACAUGCCAUGUGUGGCGAAGUCCUAGGAGCUUGUUUUCCAGGAGCUCCAAUGGCAAGACCACUUCCAUUUUACAUAAAACCUUCCAGAUUGUGUCUAAAUAAACAGUUGCUUUAAGUGUCAGAUUUCAAUAUUUUAAGUUGCUCAUUAUUGGUUGGCAGAGCAUGUUAUAUCAAUAAUAGCUCUGAAUGCUGGGAUAUUUGUAAUUAACUUGUGGAACUGAUCUGCUUAUAAAAUUAUUCAACAGCCUUCGUUUGAGCAGCCACACAAUCCAAUGACUACUGAUCAAACUAUCCAGCACCUCUGACACUCCUCCCCCUCGUCGUCCCCGCAGACCAAAGAUUUUCGGCGACAUGAAUGAUCCCAAGUAUGAACAGAGGAAUGUCAUGAGCUGAGCUACUUCAGUGGAAAUGAAUUCUGGUGAUCAUGUAACUUCUGCAUCACAUACACGCUGCUGUCGUUAUGUUAAAGCAAAUGGCUCUGUUAGUGAACUGCUUAAAGUGGAGUUAACUGGUGUUCAUGCUCAAACGCUGUUGCUGUCAACAGUUACAUUAGUCACUGCUGCGCUUAUGCUGUCCACCAAAAGUCUUAUCAAAAUAAAACGAGUUUCAGAUUAAAGACAA